This 416-nucleotide ribosomal RNA is filed under the name uncultured bacterium. Its description in RNAcentral is "bacterial SSU rRNA". It matches the Rfam family "Bacterial small subunit ribosomal RNA", at positions 355 to 787 of the family's 1533-position model. The record is from RNAcentral.
UCGGGAAUAUUGCGCAAUGGAGGAAACUCUGACGCAGUGACGCCGCGUGCAGGAAGAAGGUUUUCGGAUUGUAAACUGCUUUAGACAGGGAAGAAAAAAUGACAGUACCUGUAGAAUAAGCUCCGGCUAACUACGUGCCAGCAGCCGCGGUAAUACGUAGGGAGCAAGCGUUAUCCGGAUUUAUUGGGUGUAAAGGGUGCGUAGACGGGAAGACAAGUUAGUUGUGAAAUCCCUCGGCUUAACUGAGGAACUGCAACUAAACUAUCAUUCUUGAGUGCUGGAGAGGAAUGUGGAAUUCCUAGUGUAGCGGUGAAAUGCGUAGAUAUUAGGAGGAACACCAGUGGCGAAGGCGACUUUCUGGACAGUAACUAACGUUGAGGCACGAAAGUGUGGGGAGCAAACAGGAUUAGAUACCC